Molecule: ribosomal RNA, 345 nt
Filed under: Rhipicephalus appendiculatus
Lineage: Eukaryota; Metazoa; Arthropoda; Arachnida; Ixodida; Ixodidae
Description: partial 12S ribosomal RNA
Source: RNAcentral
UUGUAAGUAUAUAAUAAUUACGAAAGCAAAAAAUUAUGGCGGUAUUUUAAGCUUUUCAGAGGAAUUUGCUCUUUAAUGGAUAAAACACCUAAAUCUUACUUAAAUUUGUUAAAUCAACUUGUAUACCACUAUUAAAACAAUUAUUAACUCUAAUUGUUAAUAUUUAAAAACAUAAAUUAAUUUAAAUUAAGUCAAGGUGCAGUAAAAAUUUAAGAAUGAAGUGAAUUACAUUACUUUUAAGAGAAAUAAAAUUAAAUAAAAUUUAGGAUUUGAAAGUAAAAUUAAAAUAGAAUGUUAAUUUGAAUUAAGCUCUAAAAUAUGUACACAUCGCCCGCGCCUCUCAUU